This 510-nucleotide ribosomal RNA is filed under the name uncultured bacterium. RNAcentral describes it as "partial 16S ribosomal RNA". It matches the Rfam family "Bacterial small subunit ribosomal RNA", at positions 28 to 507 of the family's 1533-position model. The record is from RNAcentral.
GACGAACGCUGGCGGCGUGCUUAACACAUGCAAGUCGAACGAAGAGCGACGGAAGCUUGCUUCUAUCAAUCUUAGUGGCGAACGGGUGAGUAACGCGUAAUCAACCUGCCCUUCAGAGGGGGACAACAGUUGGAAACGACUGCUAAUACCGCAUACGAUCUAACCUCGGCAUCGAGGAUAGAUGAAAGGUGGCCUCUACAUGUAAGCUAUCACUGAAGGAGGGGAUUGCGUCUGAUUAGCUAGUUGGAGGGGUAACGGCCCACCAAGGCGAUGAUCAGUAGCCGGUCUGAGAGGAUGAACGGCCACAUUGGGACUGAGACACGGCCCAGACUCCUACGGGAGGCAGCAGUGGGGAACCUUCCGCAAUGGACGAAAGGCUGAAGGAGCAACGCCGCGUGAGUGAUGACGGCCGUCGGGUUGUAAAGCUCUGUUAAUCGGGACGAAAGGCCUUCUUGCGAAUAGUGAGAAGGAUUGACGGUACCGGAAGAGAAAGCCACGGCUAACUACGUG